UAAGUGAUGAUAAGCAUCGAGGCAUCUGUUUUGCAUCUUUCCACUUGCUUUUUGGCUGAACAACCUUUUGAUGUGCUACACCUGUAAUAGCCUCUGCAUGAUGAAACAUGAAACCUUGUGAGAUUUCUUAAUGGGGAAAGGAGGAAUGGGACAAAGUGAAGGGGCGGAAAAAACCCUUAUUGGCUAAAUUUUAAGGUGUGGGAGGAAAAAUGUAGUUCUAACUCAAACUUCAACAAAAACAUGCACAGAACUGAAGAAACAUGAUGUAAGUUUUGGAUGUAUUGACAAAGUAUAAAGUUUAUGAGUUCAUCUUAAGGACGAUAUAAAGCAAGAAAUCGCGACGCAGAAGAAAGCAC
Molecule: long non-coding RNA, 356 nt
Filed under: Gossypium raimondii (Peruvian cotton)
Lineage: Eukaryota; Viridiplantae; Streptophyta; Magnoliopsida; Malvales; Malvaceae
Description: long non-coding RNA (GRAI_LNC005211)
Source: RNAcentral